ACUUAAAUUGAAGAGUUUGAUCAUGGCUCAGAUUGAACGCUGGCGGCAGGCCUAACACAUGCAAGUCGAGCGGUAGCACAGAGAGCUUGCUCUCGGGUGACGAGCGGCGGACGGGUGAGUAAUGUCUGGGAAACUGCCUGAUGGAGGGGGAUAACUACUGGAAACGGUAGCUAAUACCGCAUAAUGUCGCAAGACCAAAGUGGGGGACCUUCGGGCCUCAUGCCAUCAGAUGUGCCCAGAUGGGAUUAGCUAGUAGGUGGGGUAACGGCUCACCUAGGCGACGAUCCCUAGCUGGUCUGAGAGGAUGACCAGCCACACUGGAACUGAGACACGGUCCAGACUCCUACGGGAGGCAGCAGUGGGGAAUAUUGCACAAUGGGCGCAAGCCUGAUGCAGCCAUGCCGCGUGUGUGAAGAAGGCCUUCGGGUUGUAAAGCACUUUCAGCGGGGAGGAAGGCGGUGAGGUUAAUAACCUCAUCGAUUGACGUUACCCGCAGAAGAAGCACCGGCUAACUCCGUGCCAGCAGCCGCGGUAAUACGGAGGGUGCAAGCGUUAAUCGGAAUUACUGGGCGUAAAGCGCACGCAGGCGGUCUGUCAAGUCGGAUGUGAAAUCCCCGGGCUCAACCUGGGAACUGCAUUCGAAACUGGCAGGCUAGAGUCUUGUAGAGGGGGGUAGAAUUCCAGGUGUAGCGGUGAAAUGCGUAGAGAUCUGGAGGAAUACCGGUGGCGAAGGCGGCCCCCUGGACAAAGACUGACGCUCAGGUGCGAAAGCGUGGGGAGCAAACAGGAUUAGAUACCCUGGUAGUCCACGCCGUAAACGAUGUCGAUUUGGAGGUUGUGCCCUUGAGGCGUGGCUUCCGGAGCUAACGCGUUAAAUCGACCGCCUGGGGAGUACGGCCGCAAGGUUAAAACUCAAAUGAAUUGACGGGGGCCCGCACAAGCGGUGGAGCAUGUGGUUUAAUUCGAUGCAACGCGAAGAACCUUACCUGGUCUUGACAUCCACAGAACUU
This 1010-nucleotide ribosomal RNA is filed under the name Klebsiella pneumoniae subsp. pneumoniae. RNAcentral's name for it is "bacterial SSU rRNA". It matches the Rfam family "Bacterial small subunit ribosomal RNA", at positions 1 to 998 of the family's 1533-position model. The record is from RNAcentral. Lineage: Bacteria; Pseudomonadati; Pseudomonadota; Gammaproteobacteria; Enterobacterales; Enterobacteriaceae.